This 429-nucleotide ribosomal RNA is filed under the name bacterium. Its description in RNAcentral is "partial 16S ribosomal RNA". It matches the Rfam family "Bacterial small subunit ribosomal RNA", at positions 355 to 776 of the family's 1533-position model. The record is from RNAcentral.
UGGGGAAUUUUGGACAAUGGGGGCAACCCUGAUCCAGCAAUGCCGCGUGUGUGAAGAAGGCCUUCGGGUUGUAAAGCACUUUUGUCCGGGAUGAAAUCGCACCUGAUAAUACCGGGUGUGGAUGACGGUACCGGAAGAAUAAGGACCGGCUAACUACGUGCCAGCAGCCGCGGUAAUACGUAGGGUCCAAGCGUUAAUCGGAAUUACUGGGCGUAAAGCGUGCGCAGGCGGUUGUGCAAGACCGAUGUGAAAUCCCCGGGCUUAACCUGGGAAUUGCAUUGGUGACUGCACGGCUAGAGUGUGUCAGAGGGGGGUAGAAUUCCACGUGUAGCAGUGAAAUGCGUAGAGAUGUGGAGGAAUACCGAUGGCGAAGGCAGCCCCCUGGGAUAACACUGACGCUCAUGCACGAAAGCGUGGGGAGCAAACAGG